RNAcentral lists this ribosomal RNA (253 nucleotides) under uncultured bacterium. RNAcentral describes it as "partial 16S ribosomal RNA". It matches the Rfam family "Bacterial small subunit ribosomal RNA", at positions 524 to 776 of the family's 1533-position model. The record is from RNAcentral.
CACGUAGGUGGCAAGCGUUGUCCGGAUUUAUUGGGUUUAAAGGGUGCGUAGGCGGUUCCUUAAGUCAGUGGUGAAAUACUUCAGCUCAACUGGAGAGGUGCCAUUGAUACUGGGGAACUUGAGUACUGAUGAGGUAGGCGGAAUGGACGGUGUAGCGGUGAAAUGCUUAGAUAUCGUCCAGAACACCGAUAGCGAAGGCAGCUUACUAAGGAGUAACUGACGCUGAGGCACGAAAGUGUGGGGAUCAAACAGG